GAUGAACGCUGGCGGCGUGCCUAAUACAUGCAAGUCGAGCGAACAGACGAGGAGCUUGCUCCUCUGACGUUAGCGGCGGACGGGUGAGUAACACGUGGAUAACCUACCUAUAAGACUGGGAUAACUUCGGGAAACCGGAGCUAAUACCGGAUAAUAUAUUGAACCGCAUGGUUCAAUAGUGAAAGACGGUUUUGCUGUCACUUAUAGAUGGAUCCGCGCCGCAUUAGCUAGUUGGUAAGGUAUCGGCUUACCAAGGCAACGAUGCGUAGCCGACCUGAGAGGGUGAUCGGCCACACUGGAACUGAGACGCGGUCCAGACUCCUACGGGAGGCAGCAGUAGGGAAUCUUCCGCAAUGGGCGAAAGCCUGACGGAGCAACGCCGCGUGAGUGAUGAAGGUCUUCGGAUCGUAAAACUCUGUUAUUAGGGAAGAACAAAUGUGUAAGUAACUAUGCACGUCUUGACGGUACCUAAUCAGAAAGCCACGGCUAACUACGUG
RNAcentral lists this ribosomal RNA (497 nucleotides) under uncultured bacterium. Its description in RNAcentral is "partial 16S ribosomal RNA". It matches the Rfam family "Bacterial small subunit ribosomal RNA", at positions 28 to 507 of the family's 1533-position model. The record is from RNAcentral.